UUUUGGCAGUGAUGACUAAAUUUACAGCUUUAUGCCAGUUCUGCUUCAGAAAAUUCGUGAUCGAGAGAGCUGUUUCAUACUCUGAGCCUUCA
RNAcentral lists this small nucleolar RNA (92 nucleotides) under Prunus dulcis (almond). RNAcentral also lists the same sequence under 3 other names. Lineage: Eukaryota; Viridiplantae; Streptophyta; Magnoliopsida; Rosales; Rosaceae. The record is from RNAcentral.